UUCAUCGCUCGCGAUGUUUAACUGACAUGAUUGUGGGACGUCCUACCGGUGGGCUUAGCUCCUCACGGGGCGGUCCAGCUAAUAUCCCAUCGCGGUGCUCUUCAUCGAGUGUCGAGGUGGGCCGGUACGUUUACUUUGAACAAAUUAGAGUGCUCAAAGCAGGCUAUGUUCGCCUGAAUAUUCGUGCAUGGAAUAAUGGAAUAGGACCUCGGUUCUAU
RNAcentral lists this ribosomal RNA (218 nucleotides) under Paracentrobia sp. D0844. RNAcentral's name for it is "partial 18S ribosomal RNA". The stretch from base 117 to 218 matches the Rfam family "Eukaryotic small subunit ribosomal RNA", at positions 738 to 839 of the family's 1831-position model. Lineage: Eukaryota; Metazoa; Arthropoda; Insecta; Hymenoptera; Trichogrammatidae. The record is from RNAcentral.